CCUAACCACCGAUAAACGAUGCAUCCCUUUUACAUUCCCUGCUUGCCCGUGUCUGGCAUAGAGAAAGUUAACUGGUCUAGACGGAGAGCUCCAAUCCCUAUCAUUCUCUGGUUGGGGGCUCUAAGUUUGAUGUCUGAGGGCUCUAGUCUUGUUUGAUGGAUUUAUUCUUGCGUGGGAUGUGCAAUGAGAAAGAUUCAGUUUGAAUCAUUUGUUAGAAUCAUUUGUCAUCUUCCAAUCAUUUGUCGUCUCCACUCUCUAUCUCUAUUAUGUGUGAUGAGUAUAAUGCCAGUACGGAGUACACCAGAUGUAUUUGUUCUAGUUCCCCCCAGCCUUAAGGCCCUCCCUGUCCUUGAAUGUCAUCUUACUGUGACUGUCAGAGUCUGGGAAAAGAGGCAAUUAAGUGGUGUGAAAAACACCAGGGGUCGAGGGUUGAAUUGAUUCAAGGUGAUUUUGUGCUGCGAAGCUGGCAUCGUUAGUGUGAAGUGUGCUCAGUUAGUUCCCUGCUGAAUGUUAUGUUGAAGGACAGCUCUUGGAACAACCAUUCUGGGAGAAACCAGAGGUUUCUAGUAAAUAUGGCCAUAAAACUCAAGAUCAUGGGGAGGAAAUCAAUUACGGUACUACAGCAUGAUACCUAAAUAACAGACAAUCUCUUCAUGCAAAGGUGAGAGAGGAAGUAAAGUUCAGUAUGUGAGGUUAUUUUGUUUUGAGGAAUGUAAAAACACCACGAUGAUGGAUGGAUUGUCUAUAGAGGCUUGGGUGUGGUGGUUUGGAUGUCAAGCUGAUGCCAAAUACCAGCCUGUACCCGGUGUGCCAGCCUCCCAGUCAACUCUGAACUCAAGUUGGGCUAUAAGAUUGUUUACAACAACAAAAACGACCCAAGCCUCUAUCGCCUCACGUGUUGUUUUGUAUCAUUAUGACUCAUGGAUUACUGUCAAGCCAUUAAAAUCCAUCCUUAAAAUGCUUGUCAAGAUAAUCUUUGAGAUAAUCUUUCUCUGCUCACAUUUGUCUAACUCUGCGCAACAAGAGAACAGGCUGUGAUCGGGUUGAAAAGUUUGAGUUGAAAGGUUGAGGGUAGACAUUAUGGCGUUAUUAGAGUUAAAGCCAGUUUGCCAGGGAGGAGAUGGGACAGCCUGUUCUUUCGCCAUGAGAUUUACAACCAAUGUGAGCAUUCUAUUGUGUGAUCAAUUUGACUGGGUGAGACAGUGCUACUGUAGUGUUUCACUAUCAGCUCUGACAGUCAGUCUUAGAUUGGCCUGAUACACUAUUGGGUAACACUUUAUUUGAAUAGGCCAUCUGUAGAUGAUCUACAGACUAUUUGCAGACUAUCAGUAACAUUUGAAAUAACUAUCUACUAACCCUAGCCCUAGACCUACCCCUAACCUUAACCCUUAUUCAGGCUGUAUCACAUCCGGCCGUGAUUGGGAGUAGCACAAUUGGCCCAGCGUUGUCCGGGUUUGGCCGUCGUGUAGGCCGUCAUUGUAAAUAAGAAUUUGUUCUUAACUGACUCGCCGAGUUAAAUAAAGGUUCAAUAAAAAAAAUAUAUAUAUAUAUUCUAACCCUAAACUUAACCUUUACCCUGACCCUAGCCCUAACCCUUACCGUAACUGUAACCUUAGCAAGCAGUUGCUUAUCAACAGAUAGUUUGUUGGUAGUAUGAUCAUCUGUAGAGCAUCUACAGAUGGACUAUCUAGACAAUACAAAUAAAGAGUGACACACUACUGUCCUUGGAGAGCCUUGUUGCUGGAGAGAGAGGCCACUGAGGACAUUCCCCUGACAGUCAUUCCCACAAGCACAUACUUACACAGACAACAUUACAGACACCCACAGUAUCACUCUCACACAGCCAGUCCAAAGAAAUAACACACUUUAAGUAACAGUACCUCUUCAGCAAUAUAACAUUUUUUUGUAACUUUAUUUAACUAGGCAAGUCAGUUAAGAACAAAUUCUUAUUUUCAAUAAGAAGGAACAGUGGGUUAACUGCCUGUUCAGGGGCAGAACGACAGAUUUGUAUCUUGUCAGCUCGGGGGCUUGAACUUGGAACCUUCCAGUUACGAGUCCGAUGCUCUAACCACUAGGCUACCCUACCAGAUACACUGGAUUUUGUUUUUAAAUGACGGUCUACCAAAAGGCAAAGGACCUCCUGUGGGGACGGGGGCUGGGAUUCAAAAGAAAUGUAAUUUAAUUAAAUACAUUUUUUGUGAAAUGUGUUGUUUUAUAGGGUCAGCUGUAGUAGUAUGACACCCCUGGAGCAAAUGAGGGUUAAGUGUCUCGCUCAAGGGCACAUCAACAGAUGUGUUACAGGCCCAACACUCUAACCGCUAGGCAACCUUCCGACCUGCCACCCAGUUUACUAUGUAAGAGCAUUCGCUCAUCAGCAUUCCCUAUCAGCUCAGCACAUGGAGAUGCCACAGGGCUUGGGGUGGCAGGAGUGGUUUGAGUAUAUUCAAUCAUCUCCCGUGGGACUGAGACCCAGCAACACAUAUCUUCUGUUUACCCCUGGAGCUGAUUAACACUCUCUCUAUGAACCUCUGGCCUGCCGUACAAUCUCUUGAGGCUUGUUUUAAAUCAUGUAAAACACACACACAUACACUGGACUAGUAACCGGAAGGUUGUGAGUUCAAACCCCCGAGCCGACAAGGUACAAAUCUGUCGUUCUGCCCCUGAACAGGCAGUUAACCCACUGUUCCCAGGCCGUCAUUGAAGAAUAAGAAUGUGUUCUUAACUGACUUGCCUGGUUAAAUAAAAAAAAAAAAAAAAAAAAAAAAAAAGGUAAAAAUUAACUUGUAAGUCGCUCUGGAUAAGAGCGUCUGCUAAAAUGACUUAAAUGUAAAUGUAAAUGUACACAGGCAUUACAAGCACAAACAGACUGCUUGACAGAUAUCCUCGGGUAGUAAUUCUCUCCUCUGUAUCUUGAACACUGACUACAUUACAAGCGCCAAACAUGUUCUAUGCAGAUUGUGGAAUACUGCUACCUACCAACCUGGAAACAGUGACGCAUUGCUUUGCAUUGAACCAAACUGACUGUGCAGGCUUUGUGCUUGACCAGCUAAAAGGAGAAUCCCCCUCAAAAACCAACAAAGCAACCAAAAAUCAUGUCCUCAGAGUAAUCUGUCUCUCUCUUUCUGGCAGGAAGUCACUGACUCACUAAGGGAUUGGUGACAGCCCAUGCCAAAAAGGCGAGCAGUCACCAUACUUACACUUAGAAAUCCCAGAGUUAUUCAGCUGUGGGAGUUUAUCUGUCACACUCUCCUCUCCAGUGCUAAUACGAUCUUUCACCUGCUGUCCAUCCACCUCUCCACCCCUGCUUUCCUCUUCUCUCCUCCUUCCAUCCAUCCUUUCAGCCAUCUGGACGAGCUGGGGGAGAAAGAGAUGGCAUACGUGCAGAGAGAACUGCAGCCCAUGGAGAAGUGAGGCUCACUGCGCUUUCAGGCAUCAGUUGCAGGUAAAUUACUACAGUAAAUUUGGAUGUACUGCAGACCGAAAUAGCCUUCAAAAACACACUCCUGUCAUCCUCAUGGGCCUCUAAUGGAGUUCACUUGCAAUUUGUGAGUAAAGAAUACAGUUUGUUGUGUCUGUAGUAAAGUUGUAGUUCAACUGGUGCUGUGGGAAAGCUUGCCUACAUCAAAGACCAUGCAGCAUAGUAGACAUACUGUACAGCACCAGUCAAAAGUUUGGACACACCUACUCAUUCCAGUGCUUUUCUUUCUUUAUACUAUUUUCUACAUUGUAUAAUAAUAGUGAAGAGAUCCAAACUAUGAAAUAACACAUAUUGAAUCAUGUCGUAACUAAAAAGAAAAAUCAACAAAUCAAAAUAGAUUUAUGAUUUUAGAUUUUUCAAAGUAGCCACCCUUUGCCAUUAUGACAGUUUGCACACUCUUGGCAUUCUCUCAACCAGCAUCACAUGGAAUGCUUUUCCAACAGUCUUGGAGGAGUUCCCACAUACGCUGAGCUACUUUUCCUUCACUCUGCAGUCCAACUCAUCCAAAACCAUCUCAAUUGGGUUGAGGUCAGGUGAUUGUGGAGACCAGGUCAUCUAAUGCAGCACACCAUCACUCUCCUUCUUGGUCAAAUAGCCCUUACACAGCCUGGAGGUGUGUUGGGUCAUUGUCCUAUUGAAAAACAAAUGAUGUUCCCACUAAGCCCAAACCAGAUGGGAUGGCAUGUCGCUGCAGAAUGCUGUGGUAGCCAUGCUGGUUAAGUGUGCCUUGAAUUUGAAAAUAAAUCACAGAACGUGUCACCAGCAACGCACCUCCACAACAUCACACCUCCUCCUCCAUGCUUCACGGUGGGAACUACACAUGCGGAGAUCAUCAGUUCAGCUACUCUGCGUCUGACAAAGAUCUCAAAUUUGGACGUAUUUCUUGGCCCAAGCAAGUCUCCUCUUAUUAUUGGUGUCCUUUAGUAGUGGUUUAUUUGCAGCAAUUCAACCAUGAAAACCUGAUUCACACAGUCUCCAAUUAAAACAGUUUAUGUUGAGGUGUGUCUGUUAUUUGGGCUGCAAUUUCUGAGGUUGGUAACUCUACUGAACUUAUCCUCUGCAGCAGAGGUAACUCUGGGUCUUCCUUUCCUGUGGCGAUCCUCAUGAGAGCCAGUUUCAUCAUAGUGCUUGAUGGUUUUUGCGACUGCACUUGAAAAAACUUUAAGUUCUUCCAUUUUUCUGCAUUGACUGACCUUCAUGUCUUAAAGUAAUGAUGGACGGUCAUUUCUCUUUGCUCAUUUGAGCUGUUCUUACCAUAAUAUGGACUUGUUUUUUUACCAAAUAGAGCUAUCUUCUGUAUACCACCCCUACUUUGUCACAACACAACGGAUUGGCUCAAACGCACUAAGAUGGAAAGAAAUUCCACAAAUGAACUUUUAACAAGGCAUACCUGUUAAAUGAAAUGCAUUCCAGGUGACUACCUCAUGAAGCUGGUUGAGAGAAUGCCAAGAGUGUGCAAAGCUGUCAUCAAGACAAAGGGUGGCUACUUUGAAGAAACUCAAAUAUAAAUAUAAUUGAUGUCUUCACUAUUGAGUGGGUGUGUCCAAACUUUUGACUGGUACUGUAAAUAAGAGGUCAAGCUCUACAGAUAAACUGACACGUUUAACCAUAUCUACAUAUCACUAGUUGCUCCACCAUGUGGAGAAAGAGCAUGAGAGAGACAUAGGCUUGUUAUGGGAACGGGUUCAGGGAAAAGUAUAAGACCUGCUCCCUCUGGUUUCAAUCCAGUAAAUUAGUCAAAUUGGAAUCUGGAACUGAUCUUCCCCAAAUGCAUCUGGCUGGCUAGUCUUUGUGUUUCCAUGGUAAUACCAGCGAAGCUUCCUGGAUGGUAAGCAUCCAUAACCACCCAAUCAGAGUUUAGGCUUAGUGCUAGUGAGGUGCCGUAGGCUCCGGGGCCCGCAUUCACAAAGUGUCUGAGUGGGAGUGAUGCUAAAGGAUCCGUUUUGCCUUUUAAAUCAUAAUGCAUAUGAUUAUACGGGCAGGAGAGACCCUACUCUGAAACACUUUUUAAAUACAGGCCCUGGAUUACUACACAGAGACUUGGUAUGACUAUAGUAGUGGAUACUUUAAACAAGUGUCCAGGAGUCGAGCCAAAAGCAUUUUAGUCCCAGGUGGCAGUGCAUCAGGCUAGCUAGGCAAGCUAAACUCUCAUGGCUAACAUGUGUUUUAUAGUACAGAGUCUACCUAUACAAGACAGUCUACUGGUUUAAACUUUCUGGUAGAAAUUCCUCUUUUCAGAUCCCCAGGCAGCAGCAACCAGUGGUGACCAGGCUGUAUGGAAAGAAAAGGAACAGGUGAGAGACCAAUUAUUCUAUUCUAGUCUUUUCUGAUUUCUCAAUAUUAUUCAUCCAUAUAACCCCACUAAUGGCUACAGUUUGUAAUAAUUAUGAUUCAGCAGCAGUGCCAGGACAGUAAAUCAUUCAAUCUGUCUUCACAUCAAUAAUGGGUCUUUCCUUUGUCAGAUCGUUUAUAUAAUGCAGAGAGAAAUGCAUAGAUAAUCUUUCCCAUUCAUCAAAGCCCUCUCUGUUAUAUGGCCGGUCCAAUUGCACAGCUAAUUGAGGUUGAAGUAGCUUUUCAGAUAUUUGAAGUUGACUAAGUCAGAGAUGGUUUAGCCUCACAGGAUCGUGACGAGGGGCAGGAUGUACUGAAUGGCAAGGAAAGAGCCUUGCCCUAACCUGAGGAACUCGACUCGAGCACACAGGGCAGAGUAUCAAUGUCUCCACUCAAGUUGCCAAUACAGAAACCGUGUCAGUCACCUGAGACCGAUAAGAGGGGGUGGUCUGGCCAGAAACACCCAGCUCUGUUUGGGACAACUCCGAACACCAGUGGAGUGGGACUGUCUGGGAGUCAGAAGGGAGAGAGAGGAAGCUUCGUCAGCAUGCCUGGAGCAGAGGAUAGUGCUCGCCUGCCAGGGCACUGGAGAGAUGUGAGGGAGUGGAGCAUAGAGAAGAGACCGAGCCACAGAAUGUGGGUCCAGGAUGUAGAACAUGUCCUCGGUUCAACGGCUAGGCAACUGUGUGCUUCCCUGGAUAAAUAUCCUCACCACGAGCCUGGGGAUGGCUCAAACCACUUCUCCCCUUCCUUCCAAGACUGGUUUCCCUCCCGUCAUCCAGCCCUUACUUACAGACAGCUGUAGGUCCUCUGCACCCACAGACAGAAGAGCUAAGCCAUGGACCACACUGCUCAGCAGCUAAAAUGGACAAUAGCAGCAUGAAGCCUUCCUCGUUGAUUGAUUUGAAAUGCUUACUGGUGUGAAUCAUCUAGAAACCAUCACAGGUAGCGCUGCCACAGAGGAGGAGUCAAAGAUCUUCAGUUAUAUACCAGAGACACCAAAACGCAUGAAAAUACAUUUCUAACCUUGUCCGACUCUGCAUUGAAAGCAAAGAGGAACAGAGGGGAUGCAACCGUUCCAAAGCAUGAUGUCUACUCCUCUAUGAUAAGUUGCUGUUUGACAUUCUGGAGAGGUGUAAUCAUAUAAAGACACAGAUGUCCUCCAAGAGUUACACUCUAAUAAAGGAUGAUGGAAAGUCAAACAGAGACCAGAGUUUACAGUCUGGCCUUCUGUGGUCCGAGAAGCUAGAGACCAAUUCUUCCCUCACACCACCCUCCCCUCAAUUAAAUAAACAAGCGAUUUGUCUGA
This is a long non-coding RNA of Oncorhynchus masou masou (cherry salmon), 7118 nucleotides long. RefSeq lists it as uncharacterized. The record is from RefSeq and is a predicted model, not a curated record. Lineage: Eukaryota; Metazoa; Chordata; Actinopteri; Salmoniformes; Salmonidae. The transcript has 3 exons.